This 425-nucleotide ribosomal RNA is filed under the name uncultured bacterium. Its description in RNAcentral is "partial 16S ribosomal RNA". It matches the Rfam family "Bacterial small subunit ribosomal RNA", at positions 354 to 796 of the family's 1533-position model. The record is from RNAcentral.
GUGGGGAAUCUUGCGCAAUGGGCGAAAGCCUGACGCAGCCAUGCCGCGUGAAUGAUGAAGGUCUUAGGAUUGUAAAAUUCUUUCACCGGGGACGAUAAUGACGGUACCCGGAGAAGAAGCCCCGGCUAACUUCGUGCCAGCAGCCGCGGUAAUACGAAGGGGGCUAGCGUUGCUCGGAAUUACUGGGCGUAAAGGGCGCGUAGGCGGAUCGUUAAGUCAGGGGUGAAAUCCCAGAGCUAAACUCUGGAACUGCCCUUGAUACUGGCGAUCUUGAGUGUGAGAGAGGUAUGGGGAACUCCGAGUGUAGAGGUGAAAUUCGUAGAUAUUCGGAAGAACACCAGUGGCGAAGGCGACAUACUGGCUCAUUACUGACGCUGAGGCGCGAAAGCGUGGGGAGCAAACAGGAUUAGAAACCCGAGUAGUCC